AGUGAACGCUGGCGGUAGGCCUAACACAUGCAAGUCGAACGGCAGCACAGUAAGAGCUUGCUCUUACGGGUGGCGAGUGGCGGACGGGUGAGGAAUACAUCGGAAUCUACUUUUUCGUGGGGGAUAACGUAGGGAAACUUACGCUAAUACCGCAUACGACCUACGGGUGAAAGCAGGGGAUCUUCGGACCUUGCGCGAUUGAAUGAGCCGAUGUCGGAUUAGCUAGUUGGCGGGGUAAAGGCCCACCAAGACGACGAUCCGUAGCUGGUCUGAGAGGAUGAUCAGCCACACUGGAACUGAGACACGGUCCAGACUCCUACGGGAGGCAGCAGUGGGGAAUAUUGGACAAUGGGCGCAAGCCUGAUCCAGCCAUACCGCGUGGGUGAAGAAGGCCUUCGGGUUGUAAAGCCCUUUGUUGGGAAAGAAAAGCAGCAGGUUAAUACCCCGCUGUUCUGACGGUACCCAAAGAAUAAGCACCGGCUAACUUCGUG
This 491-nucleotide ribosomal RNA is filed under the name uncultured bacterium. RNAcentral's name for it is "partial 16S ribosomal RNA". It matches the Rfam family "Bacterial small subunit ribosomal RNA", at positions 29 to 507 of the family's 1533-position model. The record is from RNAcentral.